This 253-nucleotide ribosomal RNA is filed under the name uncultured bacterium. RNAcentral's name for it is "partial 16S ribosomal RNA". It matches the Rfam family "Bacterial small subunit ribosomal RNA", at positions 524 to 776 of the family's 1533-position model. The record is from RNAcentral.
UACGAAGGGUGCAAACGUUGCUCGGAAUUAUUGGGCGUAAAGCGCACGUAGGCGGCUCUGCAAGUCCCAUGUGAAAGCCCACGGCUCAACCGUGGAAGUGCAUGGGAAACUGCAAAGCUUGAGUACUUAAGAGGAUCGCGGAAUUCCCGGUGUAGAGGUGAAAUUCGUAGAUAUCGGGAGGAACACCGGUGGCGAAGGCGGGUCUCUGGGCCGAUACUGACGCUGAGGAGCGAAAGCGUGGGGAGCGAACAGG